RNAcentral lists this ribosomal RNA (468 nucleotides) under uncultured bacterium. RNAcentral describes it as "partial 16S ribosomal RNA". It matches the Rfam family "Bacterial small subunit ribosomal RNA", at positions 28 to 507 of the family's 1533-position model. The record is from RNAcentral.
GACGAACGCUGGCGGCGUGCUUAACACAUGCGAGUCGAACGGAAAGGCCCUGCUUUUGUGGGGUGCUCGAGUGGCGAACGGGUGAGUAACACGUGAGUAACCUGCCCUUGACUUUGGGAUAACUUCAGGAAACUGGGGCUAAUACCGGAUAGGAGCUCCUGCUGCAUGGGGGGGGUUGGAAAGUUUCGGCGGUUGGGGAUGGACUCGCGGCUUAUCAGCUGGUUGGUGGGGUAGUGGCAUACGAAGGCUUUGACGGGUAGCCGGCCUGGGAGGGUGACCGGCCACCUUGGUCCUGCGAUACGGCCCAGACUCCUACGGGCGGCAGCAGGGGGGAAUAUUGCACAAUGGGCCGAAGCCUGAUGCAGCAACGCCGCGUGCGGGAUGCCGGCUUUUGGGGUGUAAACCGCUUUCGCCGGUGACGAAGAGUGAGUGACGGUAAUGGGUAAAGAAGCACCGGCUAACUACGUG